This 425-nucleotide ribosomal RNA is filed under the name uncultured bacterium. RNAcentral describes it as "partial 16S ribosomal RNA". It matches the Rfam family "Bacterial small subunit ribosomal RNA", at positions 354 to 796 of the family's 1533-position model. The record is from RNAcentral.
GUGGGGAAUCUUGCGCAAUGGGCGAAAGCCUGACGCAGCCAUGCCGCGUGAAUGAUGAAGGUCUUAGGAUUGUAAAAUUCUUUCACCGGGGACGAUAAUGACGGUACCCGGAGAAGAAGCUCCGGCUAACUUCGUGCCAGCAGCCGCGGUAAUACGAAGGGGGCUAGCGUUGCUCGGAAUUACUGGGCGUAAAGGGCGCGUAGGCGGACAGCUUAGUCAGAGGUGAAAGCCCAGGGCUCAACCUUGGAAUUGCCAUUGAUACUGGCUGUCUUGAGUUUGGGAGAGGUGAGUGGAACUCCGAGUGUAGAGGUGAAAUUCGUAGAUAUUCGGAAGAACACCAGUGGCGAAGGCGACUCACUGGCCCAAUACUGACGCUGAGGCGCGAAAGCGUGGGGAGCAAACAGGAUUAGAAACCCCGGUAGUCC